This 834-nucleotide ribosomal RNA is filed under the name uncultured bacterium. RNAcentral describes it as "bacterial SSU rRNA". It matches the Rfam family "Bacterial small subunit ribosomal RNA", at positions 60 to 886 of the family's 1533-position model. The record is from RNAcentral.
AGUCGAGGGGCAGCAUGAUUGAAGCUUGCUUCAAUUGAUGGCGACCGGCGCACGGGUGAGUAACGCGUAUCCAACCUUCCGUACACUCAGGGAUAGCCUUUCGAAAGAAAGAUUAAUACCUGAUGGUAUGAUGAGAUUGCAUGAUAUCAUCAUUAAAGAUUCAUCGGUGUACGAUGGGGAUGCGUUCCAUUAGGUAGUAGGCGGGGUAACGGCCCACCUAGCCGACGAUGGAUAGGGGUUCUGAGAGGAAGGUCCCCCACAUUGGAACUGAGACACGGUCCAAACUCCUACGGGAGGCAGCAGUGAGGAAUAUUGGUCAAUGGACGAGAGUCUGAACCAGCCAAGUAGCGUGAAGGAUGAAGGUCCUACGGAUUGUAAACUUCUUUUAUAAGGGAAUAAAACCUCCCACGUGUGGGAGCUUGUAUGUACCUUAUGAAUAAGCAUCGGCUAACUCCGUGCCAGCAGCCGCGGUAAUACGGAGGAUGCGAGCGUUAUCCGGAUUUAUUGGGUUUAAAGGGAGCGCAGACGGGUCGUUAAGUCAGCUGUGAAAGUUUGGGGCUCAACCUUAAAAUUGCAGUUGAUACUGGCGUCCUUGAGUGCGGUUGAGGUGUGCGGAAUUCGUGGUGUAGCGGUGAAAUGCUUAGAUAUCACGAAGAACUCCGAUUGCGAAGGCAGCACACUAAGCCGUAACUGACGUUCAUGCUCGAAAGUGUGGGUAUCAAACAGGAUUAGAUACCCUGGUAGUCCACACGGUAAACGAUGGAUACUCGCUGUUGGCGAUAUACUGUCAGCGGCUUAGCGAAAGCGUUAAGUAUCCCACCUGGGGAGUACGCC